GUCGACCCCUAAGGCGAGGCUGAAAAGCGUAGUCGAUGGGAAACAGGUUAAUAUUCCUGUACUUGGUGUUACUGCGAAGGGGGGACGGAGAAGGCUAGGCUGGCCGGGCGACGGUUGUCCCGGUUUAAGCGUGUAGGGGGAGUGACCAGGUAAAUCCGGUUGCUUAUCAACCCUGAGGCGUGAUGACGAUGCACUACGGUGCAGAAGCAGUUGAUGCCAUGCUUCCAGGAAAAGCCUCUAAGCAUCAGGU
Molecule: ribosomal RNA, 250 nt
Filed under: Acinetobacter baumannii
Lineage: Bacteria; Pseudomonadati; Pseudomonadota; Gammaproteobacteria; Moraxellales; Moraxellaceae
Description: partial 23S ribosomal RNA
Rfam family: Bacterial large subunit ribosomal RNA
Source: RNAcentral